This 423-nucleotide ribosomal RNA is filed under the name Ranitomeya variabilis (Zimmermann's poison frog). Its description in RNAcentral is "partial 16S ribosomal RNA". It matches the Rfam family "Bacterial large subunit ribosomal RNA", at positions 1957 to 2526 of the family's 2925-position model. The record is from RNAcentral. Lineage: Eukaryota; Metazoa; Chordata; Amphibia; Anura; Dendrobatidae.
UAGCGUAAUCACUUGUUCUUUAAUUGAGGACUAGUAUGAACGGCCCCACGAGGACUACACUGUCUCCUUUUUCUAAUCAAUGAAACUGAUCUCCUCGUGAAGAAGCGAGGAUGAUUAUAUAAGACGAGAAGACCCUAUGGAGCUUUAAACAACCGGGGUACUUGCUAAUUCAUUUUAUUUCUUCUGAAAAACUAAACAAAUUAAAGCAUCUUACCCCCAAGUUUUAGGUUGGGGUGACCACGGAGAAAAAAUUAACCUCCACGAUGUAAGAAAUCCACCAUCUUCUAAGCUUAGAGCCACAUUUCCAAGCAUCAACAUAUUGACUCCUAUUGACCCAAUAAUUUGAUCAACGAACCAAGUUACCCUAGGGAUAACAGCGCAAUCUACUUUAAGAGCUCAUAUCGACAAGUAGGUUUACGACCU